RNAcentral lists this ribosomal RNA (253 nucleotides) under uncultured bacterium. RNAcentral describes it as "partial 16S ribosomal RNA". It matches the Rfam family "Bacterial small subunit ribosomal RNA", at positions 524 to 776 of the family's 1533-position model. The record is from RNAcentral.
UCCGGAGGGUGCAAUCGUUAAUCGGAAUUACUGGGCGUAAAGCGCACGCAGGCGGUUGGAUAAGUUAGAUGUGAAAGCCCCGGGCUCAACCUGGGAAUUGCAUUUAAAACUGUCCAGCUAGAGUCUUGUAGAGGGGGGUAGAAUUCCAGGUGUAGCGGUGAAAUGCGUAGAGAUCUGGAGGAAUACCGGUGGCGAAGGCGGCCCCCUGGACAAAGACUGACGCCCAGGUGCGAAAGCGUGGGGAGAAAACAGG